UUUCUCUGGGGCAGAUUUUGGAACAAUAAGUGUGAAUGCGAUGCUCUAACCUGUUAUGUUCCGUAUCACAGGCCCAUUGUCAGGGGGGUCGUUUUAAACUACUUAGUGCCCCCCAUUCCACUGAUCCUAACAGAUAAGAUGGAGUUCUCCCCGAAUAAAUCAAAACCGGGAAUGUCACUGGGAUGACAGCAGUCGAUAGUUUUUUUUUCUCCCACAGUCCAUUCUUCUGCACCGCCCGUAACUUGCCAAGUACAGCUUUUGUACAGUCCAUUUACUUAACAAGAACGACUUUUUCCAUACGCCAUUCUGCAAACCGGUUUUAAACACCCGUGAUCUGUGAAUAAACAAAGUCAGUAAACAAAAAAAAAAAAAAAUCUAGCUAACCCAGAUUCCAAGAAGGUAAACUUUCAACAGCAGCACGUCACACUUCAGCAAAUUUACACAGAUAUUAUAUUUCGUUCCCUUCUUUUUAGCCAUUACGCUUUACUGCAUUUUAUAACGCCGAUCGAUAUCUUGGUAAAAUAACCAUUUUUAUAAGCUAGCGGGGCAGUGAAAUCUUUGCUUUGUGCUAAAGUCAACAGUGCCGAGUUUGAGCUCAAAUAAAUACUGCGAUGCCCUGAGCCGGUUGCAGUAUAGUCUGUGAGGCUCUAAGCGCGGGACUGCCAUCGCUUUCGAAUCUACAGAACACAGAGGCACCAGAACAAAUGGCCUUUUGAUCGUCAACUCAUCAUUUCAAUCGUGAAGUUUCUAUCUGCUGCUUGGCAAACCGACAUAGGUACAAGCAGGUGCCUCCCCGGUGAUGAAUGUACAACCGAGAGGAGAAACAGAACGGCUUUUGAGUCACUGUGUUCAUUAGUACCUGGUUAGGACUGCGUCCAACCUGAUGGCAAAUAUGAAAUAUCAAAGCGCUUGUCAGCACUCCUGAAUGGGACAAAGAAAGGCUGCAUUAAUGAUUAACUGUGCUAAAAGCCCUGUCUUUUGUAUUCCCAUGGUGCCUGGGCUAUCUGGCUGCCAUGUGACAUGCUCGGGCCCUUUUCUAGCAGAUUGAGGAAAGCUAGUGAGCAAACACAGGUGCUUCGGAGUCAGCACGGCUGUCAGGGGUAACCACAAACAACACCAGCUAUGCCUGGUUAAAUGACCUCCUCUGUUUGCUUCCAUUGCUGCUUCCUGGGGAGCGUACAUUUCAAGCCCAGCGUCUCCUGCCCCUAUUCUCAGCUAUUCACAUGCAGUGCUGAAAAAGCAGGCAGAGCCACUUCUUUCAUGCAACAGCAUUCAGGGGCCAAACCAAGGGACAGAGUACACUAAUUAAAAGUGUUCAAGUCUUUAGCUGCCAAAACAAAACACAUUUAUUUUUUUCUCAAGUGGGGCUAUUUUCUUGACCCUGUGUCAAACACAAAGCAGCCAUUCAUUUUGAAAUGAGCAUUUGGAAAUGUGUGAGUGUGGAAGAGAGCAAAAUGCAAGCACUUUCACUAUUAAUAGAUAGCAAAUAAGAAAAGUUUCAAAGAAGCUUGUUUGCAGCUUUGAAACUCCAGACACGCCUCGGCCUAAAUGCCAGUUUCCUGGGUAUGAAUGUUACACAGUAGCAAGGCUGGUACAAGGGUUCUGUGCUGUGGAAAACACAAAGUCCCCCCAGCAGAUUAUUGAACUUUCUACAGGGCACAAGUCAGACAGGCUGUCUUUUAUUGUUUAGAUAUUGAUAUUUGCAUAUUACAGCUCUGUACAAUUACGCACGGCCAGUAAACCUGUACUACCAAGAACACGCUAAAGGUGUUUUAAGUAAACAAGUAAAACACACAAGAGAGGAAAUCAGGUUAGAAAGAGAAAUGUUAAGAGCAGUAUCAUCACAGCCUACUGCAGUGUCUAAACUAUGUCUUAAUACUAUGUCCCUGGAAUUACAUUUCAUUAUUGUAUAUUGUAUAUGGUAAUAGCAGGUGAAUAAAUGCCCACAUGGGAAAGGCACAGUCAGAUUCACAUAGAGUUGAAGAGUGGUGGUAUUUAGACCAGCCACUGUUGAGAUCAUUAAAAUAGACCUCUUGCUUAAUUAAUGGAAUACGCUUAUUCAAGAGGUAUUGCUUUGCCAGUCUACUCCAUUUACACAGUUUCGUCAUUAAAAAUGAGUUCAGCUUUUGAUAAUGAUUGCUACCUAGUCUAAUAGGGAUUGUUUACAACAAUGUGGUAUGACUAUGAAUAUGAUAAGACUAUAAUGUUAUAAGAGGAUCAUUCUCAACAGCAAACUCAAACCUAGAGCAAUGGCCAGGUCUUAUUUGAGCACACAACGCUGUUAAACUGCAGAUUUAUUGCAUAGUUCUUGUCAGUGCAAAAAGUCUCAUCCAUUGUCUGUUAAAACUCCUAACAGAUUUCAGGCAAUGACGAGAAGAAUAAAAAGAGUCAUUGAAAACUGUGAUAAUCUCAAAGUCUCUUUGAAGUUCUGCAUACAAUGCAGCCUUUUUACAGAGCAGGAGCACUUAAAAAGGCUGUAGACUGAAUGAACUUGGGUCUUUUGUAAGAUCUGUUCCAAGAACGUAGUCCUCUGAACUAAUGAAAACAAACAUAUAUUAAUAAUACGCAAUCGGUUAGCUGCGACGUUUGGUGCUGCUUGCAAGUGUAGAGUCAAUAUGUAUUUCAAUUGCAUUCAUUUACAAUAGAAUCAGUCAAUUUGCUAAAAUAUCAACCUAAGGCUAUGGCUUUGCAGCACCUGUCUUUUAUUUGUACUUUUAAGCUAUUUUGAUUUACUAUCCUGUACUAAAGAAAUAAAGAUGUUUAAAAUAA
Long non-coding RNA from Polyodon spathula (Mississippi paddlefish), 2769 nucleotides. RefSeq lists it as uncharacterized. The record is from RefSeq and is a predicted model, not a curated record. NCBI's taxonomy places the organism in Eukaryota, Metazoa, Chordata, Actinopteri, Acipenseriformes, Polyodontidae. The transcript is spliced from 3 exons.